RNAcentral lists this ribosomal RNA (302 nucleotides) under uncultured bacterium. RNAcentral describes it as "bacterial SSU rRNA". It matches the Rfam family "Bacterial small subunit ribosomal RNA", at positions 211 to 507 of the family's 1533-position model. The record is from RNAcentral.
CCUGGCGCGAUUGGAUGAGCCACGUCGGAUUAGCUAGUUGGCGGGUAAAGCCCACCAAGGCGACGAUCCGUAGCUGGUCUGAGAGGAUGAUCAGCCACACUGGAACUGAGACACGGUCCAGACUCCUACGGGAGGCAGCAGUAGGGAAUAUUUGGACAAUGGGCGCAAGCCUGAUCCAGCCAUGCCGCGUGAGUGAAGAAGGCCCUCGGGUUGUAAAGCUCUUUUGUCCGGAAAGAAAAGCGCCGGGUUAAUACCCUGGUGUCCUGACGGUACCGGAAGAAUAAGCACCGGCUAACUUCGUG